Molecule: ribosomal RNA, 459 nt
Filed under: uncultured Sphingobacteriales bacterium
Lineage: Bacteria; Pseudomonadati; Bacteroidota; Sphingobacteriia; Sphingobacteriales
Description: bacterial SSU rRNA
Rfam family: Bacterial small subunit ribosomal RNA
Source: RNAcentral
CCCGCACAAGCGGUGGAGCAUGUGGUUUAAUUCGAUGAUACGCGAGGAACCUUACCUGGGCUCAAAUGUAUGUUGACGUAUUCUGAAAGGGAUACUUCUUCGGACAAUAUACAAGGUGCUGCAUGGUUGUCGUCAGCUCGUGCCGUGAGGUGUCGGGUUAAGUCCCAUAACGAGCGCAACCCCUAUCAUUAGUUGCCAUCAGGUCAAGCUGGGGACUCUAAUGAAACUGCCUACGCAAGUAGUGAGGAAGUGGGGAUGACGUCAAAUCAGCACGGCCCUUACGUCCAGGGCUACACACGUGCUACAAUGGCCGAUACAGAGGGCAGCUACCUGGUGACAGGAUGCAAAUCUCCAAAGUCGGUCUCAGUUCGGAUCGGAGUCUGCAACCCGACUCCGUGAAGUUGGAUUCGCUAGUAAUCGCGCAUCAGCCAUGGCGCGGUGAAUACGUUCCCGGGCCUC